RNAcentral lists this ribosomal RNA (468 nucleotides) under uncultured bacterium. RNAcentral's name for it is "partial 16S ribosomal RNA". It matches the Rfam family "Bacterial small subunit ribosomal RNA", at positions 28 to 507 of the family's 1533-position model. The record is from RNAcentral.
GACGAACGCUGGCGGCGUGCUUAACUCAUGCAAGUCGAACGGAAAGGCCCUGCUUUUGUGGGGUGCUCGAGUGGCGAACGGGUGAGUAACACGUGAGUAACCUGCCCUUGACUUUGGGAUAACUUCAGGAAACUGGGGCUAAUACCGGAUAGGAGCUCCUGCUGCAUGGUGGGGGUUGGAAAGUUUCGGCGGUUGGGGAUGGACUCGCGGCUUAUCAGCUUGUUGGUGGGGUAGUGGCUUACCAAGGCUUUGACGGGUAGCCGGCCUGAGAGGGUGACCGGCCACAUUGGGACUGAGAUACGGCCCAGACUCCUACGGGAGGCAGCAGUGGGGAAUAUUGCGCAAUGGGCGGAAGCCUGAUGCAGCAACGCCGCGUGCGGGAUGACGGCCUUCGGGUUGUAAACCGCUUUCGCCUGUGACGAAGCGUGAGUGACGGUAAUGGGUAAAGAAGCACCGGCUAACUACGUG